AAGUAAUUUAUUUAUUUUGAGUUUUAGUAUUAAUUUAAAAAUAAUUUUUAGAUUUAUAGUUUAAUAGUAUUGUGAAAGAAUUAGUUAAAUUAAAUAAAGAAUUUUUAGUACCUUUUGUAUCAGGGUUGAUUAAAAUUUUUAAUUUUUUUUUGAUUUCUCAAAAUUUAUAGAGUUAAUUUUAUUAUUAAGUUAUUGUUUUAUAAAUAUUUAUUAAAUAAUUUUAGUUUUGAAAUUUAAUUCGUUAUAUUAUAUUUAGUUAUUUAAGAUUUAAAUUUAAUUUAAAAUUUUAAAAGUUGUAUUGAUUUUAUUAAUUGAUAUUUUAAAUUUAAAUUAUUUUAAGGAUAAGCUUGAAAUUUUAAUAUAAUAAUUUUUUUUAUUUUAAUAAUUUAUAGGAAUAGAAAUUUUUAUUUUAAGUUUGUAAAAAUUUAUUAUUUAUUUAAUUUUAAUUUAUUAUAAUUUUAUUUAUUUUUAAUAUUAAAUUUUAUUAAUUAAUAUUUAAUUUUUAGUAAUAAUGAUUAAAUUAGUAUAAUUUUUAUUUAUAAAUUAUGAAUUCGGCAAAGAUUAUUUUCAUCUGUUUAACAAAAACAUUGUAUUAAGUUUAAUUUAAUAUAGGAUCUGCUCAAUGAUUUAUUAAAUAGCUGCAGUAUAUUGACUGUGCAAAGGUAGCAUAAUAAUUAGUCUUUUAAUUGAGGACUUGUAUGAAAGAUUUGAUGAGAAAUAAACUUUAUUAUUUAUAUAGUUAAAAUUUUAUUUUUAAGUAAAAAAGCUUAAAUUUUUUAAAGGGACGAUAAGACCCUAUAAAACUUUAUAAAUAAUAAUUUUAAUUUUUUUGGAUUAAUAGUUAUUUUAUUAUUAUUAUUUAUUUUAUUGGGGUGAUAAAAAAAAUUAAUUAACUUUUUUUAAAAUUUUACAUUAUUUAGUGGAUUUUUGAAUUAAAAUUUUUAAUUAAAGGAAAAAGUUACUUUAGGGAUAACAGCGUAAUUAAUUUUUUAAGUUCAAAUUUGAAAAUUAGUUUGCGACCUCGAUGUUGAAUUAAGAUUAAUCUUAGGUGCAAAAUUUUAAGUAUUAGGUCUGUUCGACC
RNAcentral lists this ribosomal RNA (1081 nucleotides) under Cavariella salicicola. RNAcentral describes it as "partial 16S large subunit ribosomal RNA". The record is from RNAcentral. Lineage: Eukaryota; Metazoa; Arthropoda; Insecta; Hemiptera; Aphididae.